RNAcentral lists this long non-coding RNA (312 nucleotides) under Elaeis guineensis (African oil palm). Its description in RNAcentral is "long non-coding RNA (EGUI_LNC053488)". The record is from RNAcentral. Lineage: Eukaryota; Viridiplantae; Streptophyta; Magnoliopsida; Arecales; Arecaceae.
ACUUUAGUCUAAAAAUUUUUUCACUAUUUUAGUCGAAUUAGUAGCCUCUAUCUCCAAUCCAAGAAAUUAUCCUAAUUUCUUAGCAGGUACAAGAAUCCACACAGUUACAUAUGAGCCCGACUUUGGCUAGCUCACUCAUAUACAUCUAUGAGUAGGUUCUCAUCUAAUUAUUUUAGUAAAUAAUUUUUAGUAAUUAAUUUUGUCCUAGAUAACUUUUUAGUUGACUUUGGUCUUCUCUGCAAGCCUUGGUUAGAUCCAACCAUUAAUAUGAUCAUACUCAAGAAUCUAACUAUCGAAUGAUCAGGCCCAACA